UGGUUGGGGAUGUGCUUUUGAGGAGUUGAGGGCCGCGAACUCCGUUGGCUUUCUACCCUUUCCAUUCGGCCACUAAUAGAGGCCACUUCCACUCCCAACUUAUCAAGACCCGCAUUCACUCUAGCCACGUCCCGAGACAAGGAUUCAAGAUUAGCCACAAGAGCAUUCAAAACAUUUUGGUCCACAGUUUGUGCAUUGGAAGUUU
RNAcentral lists this long non-coding RNA (205 nucleotides) under Capsicum annuum. Its description in RNAcentral is "long non-coding RNA (CANN_LNC020896)". Lineage: Eukaryota; Viridiplantae; Streptophyta; Magnoliopsida; Solanales; Solanaceae. The record is from RNAcentral.